UGGGGAAUAUUGGACAAUGGGCGCAAGCCUGAUCCAGCCAUGCCGCGUGAGUGAUGAAGGCCCUAGGGUUGUAAAGCUCUUUCACCGGUGAAGAUAAUGACGGUAACCGGAGAAGAAGCCCCGGCUAACUUCGUGCCAGCAGCCGCGGUAAUACGAAGGGGGCUAGCGUUGUUCGGAUUUACUGGGCGCAAAGCGCACGUAGGCGGACUAUUAAGUCAGGGGUGAAAUCCCGGGGCUCAACCCCGGAACUGCCUUUGAUACUGGUAGUCUUGAGUUCGAGAGAGGUGAGUGGAAUUCCGAGUGUAGAGGUGAAAUUCGUAGAUAUUCGGAGGAACACCAGUGGCGAAGGCGGCUCACUGGCUCGAUACUGACGCUGAGGUGCGAAAGCGUGGGGAGCAAACAGG
This 404-nucleotide ribosomal RNA is filed under the name Actinomycetes bacterium. Its description in RNAcentral is "Actinobacteria bacterium partial 16S ribosomal RNA". It matches the Rfam family "Bacterial small subunit ribosomal RNA", at positions 355 to 776 of the family's 1533-position model. Lineage: Bacteria; Bacillati; Actinomycetota; Actinomycetes. The record is from RNAcentral.